CUGUCCGAGGGGCGCUGCAGCAAACUCUGGCCACCAGAGAUUUGUCAGGCUCGGACAGGGCGUUAACCAUACGCAUCAACGGCGCCCAUUCGCA
Molecule: non-coding RNA, 94 nt
Filed under: Pseudomonadales bacterium
Lineage: Bacteria; Pseudomonadati; Pseudomonadota; Gammaproteobacteria; Pseudomonadales
Also listed under: 1 other name
Description: SAH sequence
Rfam family: SAH (S-adenosyl-L-homocysteine) riboswitch aptamer
Source: RNAcentral